Molecule: non-coding RNA, 78 nt
Organism: Parelaphostrongylus tenuis
Lineage: Eukaryota; Metazoa; Nematoda; Chromadorea; Rhabditida; Metastrongylidae
Source: the annotation of a GenBank genome assembly
CGCCCCAGUAGUGGUGAAGUGGUAGCACGCGCUACUCGGUAUAGGCGGAACGCGGGUUCAACUCCCGGCUGGAGUCGA